This 479-nucleotide ribosomal RNA is filed under the name uncultured bacterium. Its description in RNAcentral is "bacterial SSU rRNA". It matches the Rfam family "Bacterial small subunit ribosomal RNA", at positions 32 to 485 of the family's 1533-position model. The record is from RNAcentral.
AAUCAACGCUGGCGGCGUGCCUAACACAUGCAAGUCGAACGAGAAGGUGACUUCGGUCACUGGAUAGUGGCGUCCGGGUGAGUAACACGUAGGUAAUCUACCUUCGGGUGGGGAAUAACGUCUCGAAAGAGACGCUAAUACCGCAUAAUGCAGCGGCACCUAAUGGUGAUUAGUUGUUAAAGCGGGGGAUCUUCGGACCUCGCGCCUGAAGAGGAGCCUGCGGCAGAUUAGCUAGUUGGUGAGGUAAUGGCUCACCAAGGCUUCGAUCUGUAGCUGGUCUGAGAGGACGGCCAGCCACACUGGCACUGACACACGGGCCAGACUCCUACGGGAGGCAGCAGUGGGGAAUUUUGGGCAAUGGGCGAAAGCCUGACCCAGCAACGCCGCGUGAAGGAGGAAAUCCUUCGGGAUGUAAACUUCAUAAGUAAGGGAAGAAAGCUGCGGAUCGAAUAAGUCCGCAGUCCGACGGUACCUUACGU